This 253-nucleotide ribosomal RNA is filed under the name uncultured bacterium. RNAcentral's name for it is "partial 16S ribosomal RNA". It matches the Rfam family "Bacterial small subunit ribosomal RNA", at positions 524 to 776 of the family's 1533-position model. The record is from RNAcentral.
UACAGAGGGGGCAAGCGUUGUUCGGAAUUACUGGGCGUAAAGGGCGCGUAGGCGGCCUUCUAAGUCGAACGUGAAAUCCCCGGGCUCAACCCGGGAACUGCGUCCGAUACUGGAAGGCUUGAAUCCGGGAGAGGGAAGCGGAAUUCCGGGUGUAGCGGUGAAAUGCGUAGAUAUCCGGAGGAACACCGGUGGCGAAGGCGGCUUCCUGGACCGACACUGACGCUGAGGCGCGAAAGCUAGGGGAGCAAACAGG